Belonocnema kinseyi is the source of this 209-nucleotide long non-coding RNA. RefSeq lists it as uncharacterized. The transcript is spliced from 3 exons. The record is from RefSeq and is a predicted model, not a curated record. Lineage: Eukaryota; Metazoa; Arthropoda; Insecta; Hymenoptera; Cynipidae.
AGGGUGGCUGAGCUAAAAUUGCUCGCCUGUUUCAGUGCGUUGACUCUCAUGCAUUUGCUAACUCGACUUUUCACCUCGACAACUUCCGAAAUAUUCGAGAUAGCAGAUAUUUCGGUGGAAUAGUAAUCUCUUAAGGAAAAGUGCACCUAAGGAUUUUCCCUUUCUUUGGAUACCCUGAGAUCAUUGGAUUGAGACACAGAAAAUUGAAG